UGUUUUGUGUGUGGGAUAUAAAUCCCCCCACUGAUCAGAGGAUCAGACCCUGGCAGGUCAAGCGAGUCCUAGAGAAGCCGCCCGUACCAGGAAGCCUUCUUGCACCCCGUAAUGCCUGGUUUGCGCAGUCCCUUGAGCCACUUGGGGAGACCUUUUUUUCUAUCCUUUGCUAUUAGGGAUGCCGUGACAUGAUGACUGCUGUGAGAGCGAAGAAGGAGCCUCAGCCAACUUCGCUCAUGAAUAAAUUUAUCCUACCACCACAGAGGGCAUGUUAUAGAGAUUUCAC
RNAcentral lists this small RNA (286 nucleotides) under Histoplasma capsulatum. Its description in RNAcentral is "hypothetical RNA". The record is from RNAcentral. Lineage: Eukaryota; Fungi; Ascomycota; Eurotiomycetes; Onygenales; Ajellomycetaceae. RNAcentral also lists the same sequence under 1 other name.